AGAGUUUGAUCAUGGCUCAGAUUGAACGCUGGCGGCAUGCUUUACACAUGCAAGUCGAGCGGCAGCGCGGGGGCAACCCUGGCGGCGAGCGGCGAACGGGUGAGUAAUACAUCGGAACGUGUCCAGUAGUGGGGGAUAACCAGUCGAAAGAUUGGCUAAUACCGCAUACGAUCUACGGAUGAAAGCGGGGGACCGCAAGGCCUCGCGCUAUUGGAGCGGCCGAUGUCCGAUUAGCUAGUUGGCGGGGUAACGGCCCACCAAGGCGACGAUCGGUAGCUGGUCUGAGAGGAUGAUCAGCCACACUGGAACUGAGACACGGUCCAGACUCCUACGGGAGGCAGCAGUGGGGAAUUUUGGACAAUGGGCGCAAGCCUGAUCCAGCCAUGCCGCGUGAGUGAAGAAGGCCUUCGGGUUGUAAAGCUCUUUCGGCGGGGACGAAACGGUCCGUGACAACACCAUGGACUAAUGACGGUACUCGCAGAAGAAGCACCGGCUAACUACGUGCCAGCAGCCGCGGUAAUUCA
Molecule: ribosomal RNA, 524 nt
Filed under: uncultured bacterium
Lineage: Bacteria
Description: bacterial SSU rRNA
Rfam family: Bacterial small subunit ribosomal RNA
Source: RNAcentral